AGUUGUCUGGAGAUGGUAUCCAGCACAAGCUGUUCCAUCACCUUUCCAGGGACAGAGGUAUAUUGCUGUAUUAGUUUGAAUCUAGUCAGUGAGAUGAAUAGAAGAGCCGAUCUCUGUGUCAUUCUGUCCAAUACUACAUUCUACUACAUAAGAAAUGGGAAUUAAACAUAAGAAAUGGGAAUUAAAUCAAAUCAAUUUUAAUGCACUAUUCUAAUAAGAAGACAACUGUAGUUCUAGAUUGCAAUUAUGGAGUUAAUUACAAUUUCAUUGGUACUGCUUAGGAUUAAGAAUACAAAGUUUACCUUGGGUGAACAUUUCAUUAUCUAGGAUGAAUCCAAGCUACUUUUCUUCUAAAUCAUAUCUUGGCUUAUUUCCUAACUUUGACUGUUUAAUAAAAGCAUAAAGAAUUUUACAGGUAGACUGUAUCAAAACAGGCUAGCUGGUUCAACUCCAAAUUACUGUACAGUGAUUUGAGAAAAACAUUAAUUUUGAAGGAGCUCUGGAGGCUGAGUAUAAAGAUUAUUAAACAUAAGUUAUAUAUAUGCAGAAAAAUUGCUUUUGCAUGAAUUCACUUUUAAAAUGUUAAUAUAUGCAUAAGAAAAUUGUGUUUCUUAAUCUCUGAAGAAACACUUAUCACUAGGAACCACUUAAUUCUUUUCCUGCGCUUGAUUUAUUAGCUUAUGAAAUUAUGCUAAUAGUUUGCAUGCUAAUGGUUUUGGGGCUCAAAUGACCUGAUUUUAAUAAUGAAGUAAUUUAUGCAGUAAAUGUAAUCAUCAUCUACGAAUCUCGCUUAAAAGAACAUAUCAGUGAUUACCUAUGCUAAAACCAAAUGCCUGUCAAUAUGGCACACAGCAUACGCCAUGAUGGGGAAAUGGGAUGUGCUCAGCCCAGUACACCCUUUAGAAUGGUUGAGUCCCACACUGAUGAGCUACACCAAGGCCUGCAACAACAACUUUCUUAAGAGUUUAUGAAACUUAGUGUCAGCCAACUUCCUUGCAUGAACACCUUGGAAGGAAAAAGACAAUGGCAGGAAAUGGGCGGAACUAGGAAUGGAGUCUAACCUGGAGCCAGUUCUACUCUGUGAGUAGGAGACCUCAGUGGCACAGACACCUCACACACCUGGGCAGAGGAGACUGUGGGAAGAAAGUUUGUGUUUGGGUGAGAAGAUUUAAUCUUUACAAGAAAAGGGGCACUUUUAUUAAGGAUGUGAGCUGCGUGACGUCUUAGAGAUGCAACCCCUUGCAACAUCUGGGAAGCCGAUGUGGAUGCCACGCACUCUGUUGCCAUAGAGCUGUGACAGCUUAAUGAGCCGUCGCCCAUCACAGAUCAGAACUACUGUGACUGUGUGCAGGCUCCUGCCCUGCCCCCUCUCUCCAGAGACGCGCCAGAGUCCCACAGACGAGUCCUGUCUGCACUGAGCUGCCUACCAACAAGCCUGGGCAUCCCGGCCUGGCCAGGCAGGGCUUCUGAGGUGAGAAUUCCCCUCCUUCAUUUCCACACACUGCACCUGGAGGAUGGUUCUUCUGAAAGGAUGGACGUUGUGGCAGCGGGGGCAGGAAGGCAGAAGAUAGAAGGACACAUUUCAAAGCUCAGACAUAGAGGUUUUUUGCAAACUGUAAUGACUCAAAGCAGUAUAUUUCUGUCAUGUUAGAGUCCAAAAUACCAAAGCAGUCAGUAAAAUUUAUUCUGGGAACAGUGUACCAAGAAUGAAAUACAAGAAAACCUAGGAAAAGAGAGAUGGAGAGCAUCAAAUUCAAGUUUGGAGGACAGCAGGUGAAUGACAAUCCCAAUGUUGCAAGGACAAAAAAAGAAAGAUAAGCUAAGACGACAAUCAAUCAGGGACUUUAUUUUUCUUCAUAACAGUAAGGAUACAGAAUUGUUUUCCAAGUAAAAGACUAUUCAAGUAAGUAACACUGGUUGUUCAGAAGAACAAAGCAAAGAAAAAAUAUAGGACAGAAAGAAAAAGGGACCACAUUCUCUCUUCAGUUCACGAACUUCUUAAUCACUGCAAGGUAUGGGUUUUUGGCCUACCAAUCAGACAAUGACUCAUUUUACUCAUCUGUAAGCUCUUAACUUCUACCGCUGCAGUGCCAACCUUCUUUGCCAUGAACUUCAGAGGGCACAAGUGUCUUGGCUAGCUGCUCCUGGCUCCUAUCUUGGCAAAAGAAGAUAUCUUAAUAACUCUGGCAGUCUUGGGCUAACAAAAUGUUUUAUAGCGGAUGCACUAAUGAACAUAGACAACCCUGCAAGAACUGACAGUCACAAGCAGGACUGGGACUGCCAAAAGAAGUUUUAAUUGCACUCAUUAUAUGAGGCCAUAUAACUGGGGCAACAUCUUCCAACUACCUUAACUUCCUUCUACUCUCCACCAUUGUAAUGGAGUCAGAGGUUCCGCAAUGAUAUUUUGUACCAGUCUUGUAUGAACAACAUCAUAUCCAUGAUCUACCACAACAUCUAUACGCUAAACAGCUCAUCAGCAAACAUAAAGCAUGAAGCAGACAGAGCCUACGCAGAAUCUGGUCUUGUCUUGUUUUAUCUCUAAGAGCUGUACAUGCCAUGAAGCAGCAACCAAUUCAUCUGCAGCACUAACUGAUGUGUAUUUCUCCAGCUUAGAUUCACUUGAACACAUUUAUAUAUGCAAAUAAAAUUGUCACAAGUGAAUGAAGUAAUUCCUCCUACAGGCUGGAAAGGAAGAAAAUAGGUUAGUUGUUACAACGGUUGUUAAAUAUUUAGGAGUAAGACCCCCACUUGCAGGAUGAAUGAAUGGAUAGAGACAUUCAAUCUAGUUAUGUUAUUAAUAAUUUACACUGUCUUUCAAACUGAAUAAUAUAUGCCCAGUGCGUAGCCUGUACUCAGAAUUUGAAAUAUCAAAAUGGUUCAUUGAUUAACUUAUUUUUCUGCUGGAUAUUGCACCUGCACUGCAUUUCAAAACAAGACUUCAUUACAUUUAUAUCUUUGUUGAUUACCUUCCACCAGGAAACUGACCCCAGAAAUUCCAUCACUGUGUACAAUUCAUAGUGUUAACACUUAUUUUAAGUCUCAAUCCUCAGAACGCAAAUACAGAAGUUGAUGUGGUGAUUUAAUUGAAUUUCACAUGCCAGUUUGGACUCACAUUCAUUUAAAUCCAACUUAGAUGUGGCUGACAGUUUGAAUAUCACUAUGCUGUAAGCCAAGAAUAAAAACCAGUCAACCACAGCACAGCUAACUAUAUGGAUUUCCCAUUUUGCUAAUGCAAUUCCCUCCAGUUGACAUGUCUUGCAGGCAGUAUCCUUGGAAGCAAACAACUGCAGGAAGAAAACAGCAGAUUCAAAGACAGUUUGACUUUAAAACAGUAGAAACAGUUUAUUUGCAAGUCUCUCUCUGAAACAGCUAUAUAUUUUUCAGCUACUUAUUGAUCCAGCAGUCUGGGCACCUCCACAGCUGAAAUAACAGGCUGUAGCAACAUCAGACAACACUGCUUUUGCCAUCCACCUUCCCCAGAGGAGAGAAGAUCCCUUGAUCCUUUCAGGAACAAGUGUGAUCCACUUGUACUUUUGGUACUUUGGUCAAGUGGCCACCAAUGUUUGUCCUUGGGAGAAUCCUCCCUCUCCUACAACUGACCCUCUGAAGUAGAGGGAUGCUUCUGAAGCACUCUUGCACAUGGAACCACAUGCCAAACUGUGAGGUUUGGUCAGUCCUCAGCUUGGGGCAGCACUGUGUGCCCACUUCUAUGGCCUAGCAAGGUUACAGCCCCCCAGCUGCUAACCUGGCUAGGCCACUAACACAUUGACAGCACACUUGUGUCACUGCUGCUGGCUGCACAGAGAAGGGCCCUGGGGAAAGAAAUGGCCACACUAGAUCUGGCACCAGAGCAGCAGCCGUAGUCUGGGGAGAGAAAAGCUAUCAGGAACAAAAUACUUGUUAUAUCUGCACUCGUGACUGAUUUUUCUGUGAGAGUCUAAAAGCAUACUUUGCUCCAAAAACAAAUGCAAAGCAUUUGCAAACCCUGGUGCCCUGGAACAGUACAAGCUGAUGAUAAUGCAUGCAGUGGUUGUUACGUGCACUGCAGUACUCCAUUACCCAGGAAAGUCUCCCUGAUUUGCUUCUCCUUAUCAGGAUGGUGUAACAUAACCUAAACACAGCCUGUUGAAGAAAAUAAUAAAUAUUCUUGCCAUACAUCAGGGAAUUAACUGCCCCUCUACAUCUAGCUGUAUGGGAAUCACCUCCCUUGUCAAUCUCUCCUCUUUCUCCUGUAUGCUCGACCUUUAUGUUCAAAAAUUUACUUUUUAUUAUUUACUUUAGUGUAUGAAACAGCUGCUUCUUAGUAAGGCAAACUUGGCAAGUUUAAGGCAUUAAAGCCUGACUGAGUUUUCCAAGGUAUGAUUUAUAGUUCCCUUUUAUUUGUACAUUAUGUAGAGAAGCCAAGAAUGAAUAAUCCUUUUGGGUAUCAGGAAUCCAAAAGUCUGGUAUCUUAGCAAUAGCCAGUGUAAGGCAACUGGCCUAAACAUACUGUUGUUAGAUUUUGGCAAUGCUUUGCCUUUCUGAAGGUUGAUUCCAACCUGGAGAGAUCAUAGCAUAUUCUUGCUUCAUAUACUUGGCCCUUAUAAUACUGCAGAAUAGACAAUCCUUGAAGAUUAGAGCAUGAUACCAAUGUAAACAGAAGCCAUAAUUAUUUUUAAAAUUAAAUCUAAAAAUAGCAACUCCCACCUACACUUGAUUUUAGAAGUGGGGGAAACUCUCAUUUGGAGUAGUUUUUUAUAGUCAUAGCUAAGUGUGACUAUAAAUCUCAGCAGUAUAGCUAAGAUUUCUUUAGCUGGUUAGAUUUCAUUAGAAAGCAAGACUAAAACAAAACAAAACAAAAUAACAACACUGGUUGGACUUUAUAAAAGCAGUACCUUUACAAGUGUUCAUUCUUGUUGCCAUACAGCUCGCUAGCUACUAGCCAACCUUGCUGCCACUCAUUUUGCUUUUUGUUUAUAAAUAUGUCCUUGCUUAGCUCUUUUUUUGUGCUGGCCAGAAGCAACAAAAAUGACAGAUGACUUUGGCCAAAGAGACCAAAUACAUAUUAUAUUCUAUUUCAUAUUCACUCAUUCAUUUCAGAAAAAGGCUUAUUUUAAACCAAAUUAAGCAAAACAAGUCAGCACUACAAAAAUAUUUAUCAAAGAACCAGCACCUAAAGUUGGAAGAAGUGCUAGUGACUGGAUUUGUUAUCUGGUUAUAAAUUUAUUUUAAAAAGCAAUGUAAUUAACUCACAAGGGCUGAUUGAGUCAGCCUCACCAGUGCCAGAGGCUCAGUGUUGCUGCUCUUGCAUGACCUGCCUUGUACACAAUACAGAGAGAAGUGCAGUUCACAGUGGAAACAAAUACAUUAGGAGAUGCAUUGGGCUGAACCCAAUUCUGCAAAUACCUGAGCAUGUACAGCAAAGAGAAUGUUUCUUCAUUUGUGGCAUCAAGGGCAUCCACUGAUCUGUUGAAUGUGCCGUGAUGCGUGGCACGUUACUCAAGGGAAUCUCCUUUAAUCUGUCUGAAAAUCUGGAUGGAACAUAAGAACAAAGUUAUUCUCUGCAGACCUGCAGUCACUUCAGCAGCAAAUCAUUUUUUAUAACUCAGGCUGCUGGGACUAACUUUAAAGCCUCAUUUUGUUGGAAGUUUGAAAGGUACACCUUGUAUACAGUUCUCAUCUUUUCGCUCAGAUCUAUGCAGAGUUUUUGAAAAAGUGACACCGUUUUCAGCUGGGAUGGAAAGAAGUUUUAUUCUGCUGGAAAAAAAGAAAAUACCUUCAUGUUGAUCUUUUGUAAGGAACAUUUUCAAACGUAAGCCUUUAUUGCCAACAAUGAGUGGGAUGACACCUGGAAGUCAGACCUUUUGAUGUCAAUUCAGAGCAAUGAAAGAGAAGCAAAAAAGUUGCCAGAGACACUGGGAGGAGAUUAAUGGGAAGAAAACUAUUAGUUAUGUGCAGUUCUGUGGAUGUCUGCAAAAAUACCGUGAUCAUGGUUGAAAACAAAUAUUACUCACCUUUUAGACAGUGAGGCACUUGUUUUGUCUCUACAGCAAUAAGUCAAAGAUCUGGAAGGACAAAGCUGCACCAACCGGGGCAGAUCCACAAACCUGAGGUGUAGACACUAACCCCUGAAUUGUUUUUCUGAUUUCCAAAUUAUGCAUUCUGUGCUUGACAAUAUUGAAUGAGCAAGAACACCCUUUAAAAUCAAGCAUCUUGUAAGGCAGCAAAUCUUUUUAUCUUUUUAAAAAUCACUUUCUCUGCAAUGAAAUUCUUAUUCAAUAAAAUGUAUUUCCCUUAGGAACUCAGACUUCGUGGAUGAGAUAAAAGCAGUGGGAUGAGGAGAAAAUAUAAAAUCUAGUCACUAGGGGAAUUUGCUUCUCGGUCUAGAUUUUCACUGUUCGUGAAUAGGGUUUUACACCUUUCUCUGCCAAAUACUUAGCAGGGAAGCUGGCACAACUACAGUAGACACAGUCUCUCCAUCUGAACCUGCAAGAAGCACCUGGUGACAAAGUGUAUGAAAAAAUUCAGUGUGCCAGACAUCUGUGGCAAAUGAAAGACUACCUCCGUUGCUUUUUGCUAAUAAGGGGGAAGAUGGAUUAAAUAUGGGGAAAAAAAA
Molecule: non-coding RNA, 6595 nt
Organism: Meleagris gallopavo (turkey)
Lineage: Eukaryota; Metazoa; Chordata; Aves; Galliformes; Phasianidae
Source: RefSeq, a predicted model, not a curated record